RNAcentral lists this ribosomal RNA (388 nucleotides) under uncultured bacterium. Its description in RNAcentral is "bacterial SSU rRNA". It matches the Rfam family "Bacterial small subunit ribosomal RNA", at positions 28 to 417 of the family's 1533-position model. The record is from RNAcentral.
AUUGAACGCUGGCGGCGUGCCUAACACAUGCAAGUCGAGCGGUAAGGCCCUUUCGGGGGUACACGAGCGACGAACGGGUGAGUAACACGUGGGUGACCUGCCCUCAGCUCUGGGAUAAGCCUGGGAAACCGGGUCUAAUACUGGAUAUGACUCCAUGACGCAUGUUGUGGGGUGGAAAGCCUUGUGCGGCUGAGGAUGGGCCCGCGGCCUAUCAGCUUGUUGGUGGGGUGAUGGCCUACCAAGGCGACGACGGGUAGCCGGCCUGAGAGGGCGACCGGCCACACUGGGACUGAGACACGGCCCAGACUCCUACGGGAGGCAGCAGUGGGGAAUCUUGCGCAAUGGGCGAAAGCCUGACGCAGCGACGCCGCGUGAGGGAUGACGGCCU